CUCUAGGUGGCUGAUUAAAGCGAUGGAAUUUUAAACCAUAAUAUAGUAAUUUACUUCUAGAGA
Molecule: transfer RNA, 63 nt
Filed under: Cassida sp. EMHAU-15090501
Lineage: Eukaryota; Metazoa; Arthropoda; Insecta; Coleoptera; Chrysomelidae
Description: tRNA-Lys
Source: RNAcentral